AUUGAACGCUGGCGGCAUGCCUUACACAUGCAAGUCGAACGGCAGCACGGGAGUAAUCCUGGUGGCGAGUGGCGAACGGGUGAGUAAUAUAUCGGAACGUGCCCAGUCGUGGGGGAUAACGCAGCGAAAGCUGUGCUAAUACCGCAUACGAUCUAAGGAUGAAAGCGGGGGAUCGCAAGACCUCGCGCGAUUGGAGCGCCCGAUAGCAGAUUAGCUAGUUGGUGGGGUAAAGGCCCACCAAGGCGACGAUCUGUAGCUGGUCUGAGAGGACGACCAGCCACACUGGAACGGAGACACGGUCCAGACUCCUACGGGAGGCAGCAGUGGGGAAUUUUGGACAAUGGGCGCAAGCCUGAUCCAGCAAUGCCGCGUGCAGGAUGAAGGCCUUCGGGUUGUAAACUGCUUUUGUACGGAACGAAACGGCCCUUUCUAAUACAGGGGGCUAAUGACGGUACCGUAAGAAUAAGCACCGGCUAACUACGUGCCAGCCGCCGCAGUAA
This 500-nucleotide ribosomal RNA is filed under the name uncultured bacterium. RNAcentral describes it as "partial 16S ribosomal RNA". It matches the Rfam family "Bacterial small subunit ribosomal RNA", at positions 30 to 523 of the family's 1533-position model. The record is from RNAcentral.